Molecule: ribosomal RNA, 934 nt
Filed under: uncultured archaeon
Lineage: Archaea
Description: bacterial SSU rRNA
Rfam family: Archaeal small subunit ribosomal RNA
Source: RNAcentral
UUCCGGUUGAUCCUGCCGGACCCGACUGCUAUUUGGGUGAGGAUAAGCCAUGCGAGUUGAAUGGGAUACCCAAAAAUCCCAUGGCAAACUGCUCAGUAACACAUGAUCAACUUACCCUAUAGAGGAAAAUAACCUCGGGAAACUGAGGAUAAUGUUCCAUAGUUGAAUCGGCUUGGAAAAGUUUUUCAAUAAAAGGGAUAAGGAAAAUGGUCCUUAUCUGCUAUAGGAUAGGAUCGUGCUCGAUUAUGGUUGUUGGUGAGGUAAAGGCUCACCAAGCCGAUAAUCGAUAGGGGCCGUGAGAGCGGGAGCCCCGAGAUGGGUACUGAGACAACGACCCAGGCCUUACGAGGCGCAGCAGGCGCGAAACCUCCGCAAUACACGAAAGUGUGACGGGGUUACCCAAAGUGUUCUAUUUAGAACUGUGGUAGGUGAGUAAUGUCCCCUACUAGAAAGGAGAGGGCAAGGCUGGUGCCAGCCGCCGCGGUAAAACCAGCUCUUCAAGUGGUCGGGAUAAUUAUUGGGCUUAAAGUGUCCGUAGCCGGUUUAGUAAGUUCCUGGUAAAAUCGGGUAGCUUAACUAUCUGUAUGCUAGGAAUACUGCUAAACUAGAGGGCGGGAGAGGUCUGAGGUACUACAGGGGUAGGGGUGAAAUCUUAUAAUCCUUGUAGGACCACCAGUGGCGAAGGCGUCAGACUGGAACGUGCCUGACGGUGAGGGACGAAAGCCAGGGGAGCGAACCGGAUUAGAUACCCGGGUAGUCCUGGCCGUAAACGAUGCAUACUAGUGAUGGUAUGGCCAUGAGCCGUGUCAGUGCCGUAGGGAAACCGUUAAGUAUGCCGCCUGGGAAGUACGGUCGCAAGGCUAAAACUUAAAGGAAUUGGCGGGGGAGCACCCACAAGGGGUGAAGCCUGCGGUUCAAUUGGAAUCAACGCCGG